UUUGACCUCCUAUCGCAAGAAAUAACGAUCGAGAUUCGUCAUCAAGAUUCUCACUAAGAAAUAGUACUCUGGCAGCUUCAGUGAUUGUUAAACCCCUUGGUAAAAAAUUCAUUGCUUCCUUGCAGGUUUCCCGGUGUCGUACCUGACCUAUACCUUCAGGAAGCAUAGAUGGACGCAUACAGAGGAGGUACAUCAUGUAAUCAGAUAAGCGCUUGCUAAUCUGGCCAUACGGACCGACAUUACCAGGACGUUGAAGAUAGAAAAGAAUAUCGGUAGCGAUGUGCCA
RNAcentral lists this long non-coding RNA (286 nucleotides) under Durio zibethinus. RNAcentral's name for it is "long non-coding RNA (DZIB_LNC001464)". Lineage: Eukaryota; Viridiplantae; Streptophyta; Magnoliopsida; Malvales; Malvaceae. The record is from RNAcentral.